GAUGAACGCUGGCGGCGUGCCUAAUACAUGCAAGUCGAGCGAACAGACGAGGAGCUUGCUCCUCUGACGUUAGCGGCGGACGGGUGAGUAACACGUGGAUAACCUACCUAUAAGACUGGGAUAACUUCGGGAAACCGGAGCUAAUACCGGAUAAUAUAUUGAACCGCAUGGUUCAAUAGUGAAAGACGGUUUUGCUGUCACUUAUAGAUGGAUCCGCGCCGCAUUGGCUAGUUGGUAAGGUAACGGCCUACCAAGGCAAGGAUGCGUAGACGACCUGAGAGGGUGAUCGCCCACACUGGAACUGAACCACGGUCCAGACUCCUACGGGAGGCAGCAGACGGGAAUGUUCCGCAAUGGGCGAAAGCCUGACGGAGCAACGGCGCGUGAGUGAUGAAGAUCUUCGGAUCGUAAAACUCUGUUAUUAGGGAAGAACAAAUGUGUACGUAACUAUGGACGUCUUGACGGUACCUAGUCAGAAAGCCACGGCUAACUACGUG
This 497-nucleotide ribosomal RNA is filed under the name uncultured bacterium. Its description in RNAcentral is "partial 16S ribosomal RNA". It matches the Rfam family "Bacterial small subunit ribosomal RNA", at positions 28 to 507 of the family's 1533-position model. The record is from RNAcentral.